GCCCCUUAUGACUUGGGCUACACACGUGCUACAAUGGAUGGUACAAAGGGCUGCAAACCUGCGAAGGUAAGCGAAUCCCAUAAAGCCAUUCUCAGUUCGGAUUGCAGGCUGCAACUCGCCUGCAUGAAGCCGGAAUCGCUAGUAAUCGCGGAUCAGCAUGCCGCGGUGAAUACGUUCCCGGGCCUUGUACACACCGCCCGUCACACCACGAGAGUUUGUAACACCCGAAGUCGGUGAGGUAACCUUCAUGGAGCCAGCCGCCUUA
RNAcentral lists this ribosomal RNA (265 nucleotides) under Bacillus sp. (in: firmicutes). RNAcentral's name for it is "Bacillus sp. (in: Bacteria) partial 16S ribosomal RNA". It matches the Rfam family "Bacterial small subunit ribosomal RNA", at positions 1197 to 1460 of the family's 1533-position model. The record is from RNAcentral. Lineage: Bacteria; Bacillati; Bacillota; Bacilli; Caryophanales; Bacillaceae.